AGUUAUCAAAACAGUUAUAAACAAAGUUAUAAAAACACCCAAAAGGUUGAUUGAGGACGAUCGUGACCACAAUGGCGCAUUUUCAUCCGAAGCAGAGUAAGUAAUAAGUUGUGUACAAGCAAUAUGUCUUAGUAAACCUACAGUGGAUGUUUAUAUGGCUAAAAGUGAAAUUUUAUGUCUUUAUUACUUUUAGCAUUCCUUCUGGUGAUGGGCCACCCACACAGUCAGUACCAGAC
Melanotaenia boesemani (Boeseman's rainbowfish) is the source of this 236-nucleotide long non-coding RNA. RefSeq lists it as uncharacterized. The transcript is spliced from 4 exons. The record is from RefSeq and is a predicted model, not a curated record. Lineage: Eukaryota; Metazoa; Chordata; Actinopteri; Atheriniformes; Melanotaeniidae.